AUUGAACGCUGGCGGCAGGCCUAACACAUGCAAGUCGAACGGUAACAGGAAGCAGCUUGCUGCUUCGCUGACGAGUGGCGGACGGGUGAGUAAUGUCUGGGAAACUGCCUGAUGGAGGGGGAUAACUACUGGAAACGGUAGCUAAUACCGCAUAACGUCGCAAGCCCAAAGAGGGGGACCUUAGGGCCUCUUGCCAUCGGAUGUGCCCAGAUGGGAUUAGCUUGUAGGUGGGGUAACGGCUCACCUAGGCGACGAUCCCCAGCUGGUCUGAGAGGAUGACCAACCACACUGGAACUGGGACGCGGUCCAGGCUCCUAAGGGAGGCAGCAGUGGGGAAUGUUGGAAAAAGGGGGGAAGGCUGAAGCAGCCAUGCCGGGUGUAUGAAGAAGGGCCUCGGGUUGUAAAGUACUUUCAGCGGGGAGGAAGGGAGUAAAGUUAAUACCUUUGCUCAUUGACGUUACCCGCAGAAGAAGCACCGGCUAACUACGUG
RNAcentral lists this ribosomal RNA (490 nucleotides) under uncultured bacterium. Its description in RNAcentral is "partial 16S ribosomal RNA". It matches the Rfam family "Bacterial small subunit ribosomal RNA", at positions 29 to 507 of the family's 1533-position model. The record is from RNAcentral.